This is a long non-coding RNA of Homo sapiens (human), 3207 nucleotides long. RefSeq lists it as uncharacterized. NCBI's taxonomy places the organism in Eukaryota, Metazoa, Chordata, Mammalia, Primates, Hominidae. The record is from RefSeq and is a predicted model, not a curated record. The transcript is spliced from 2 exons.
AGACAGAACUUCCAGCUUCUGCUGAUGGUGUAGGCAUCUGGAAAAUGUGUCUUUAUUAAAAUUACAUUUAAAAACGAGUGAUAUUCAGGGUCAUGACUUUCUGAACCCAUCAGAGAGCUGAAUUGCAGGGCAAUUAAAUAGUUUAAAAUGAAGGAAAGAGAGGUGCCUCCUACAAUAACAGAGAUGGGCUGCAAACAUUGGAUGACCUGUGGCAGAGCACGGAAAGAAGGCAAGGAUGACAGCUACAUGCAGACAAGGUCUCCAGAUUUGCCACCCAUGCUGAGUGCCGUGGUGUGAUCAUGGCUUAUUUCAACCUCAACCUCCCCCACUCAAGCGAUCCUCCUGCCUCAGCCUCUGGAGUAGCUGGGACUACAGGCACGCACCACCACACCCAGCCAUAAUUUGCCUCUUGCUGUAACUAAAAGGUCACAAAAACAAAGAAUUCUAAAAAAUCUUCUUCUUAAGUGGUAUGUUUAGUAUUUAUCAUGAUGACAAUGUUCUAAAUUGCACCUGCCUCCACUAGCAGAAUGCCAGGAUUACUGCCAGACAGAGAAUUCGGACUGCUGGUCCAGGGACAUAGCUAUGAAAUGCACCAAGGACAGCAGAGUGUGUUUUGGAGAAAGCCAGGUAGCUCUUGAUAGGGCCUAUAUGAGUACUUAUUCCUGCUGAUAGGAAAAAAAUGAUUAGAAAAAUCUCAUUUCUUUAUUCAUUUCUACUCUGAGAGCUUUUUACUUCUAGAAACACGGUCUUAGUUUUCUGUGUUAUUAUGUUUUUUUUUUGAAACUGACAAAAUUUCACAAUUAAUUUAUGUUCAUUCAAAUGUUUAAUAAUUAUACCUUGAAUUUGUCUUAUAAUUAGUAUUUUCUUGUUAUUUCCAACAAGAGAAAGUGUGCAGGAAAAGGGACUAGAUCAGGUUGAGAGAGCCAGGGGUGUUCAGUCAAGCAGGCAGAACUCAGGACACUGAACGGGGUGAGUAUGAGGCAGCCAGAGUCCCCAGACCCGCAGAGGAGGGUCCAAAGGACAGCUUUUCAUGAUCCAGGAAGGAAAUCUCCUUCAAUAACGUCUCUCCUUCAAGAAGCUGGGGGUGUCGCUGGGAUUUAACGUAGAGAUUCCAGUCUUAGAUUGAGGGAAGGAAGGGAGGCAAAAGGAAGGAAGCCUCGCAUCCUCAUGCGAAGAAGCCAGCUUGUAGAAAUGAAGCUCAAAAUGAUCCCUACAGCACAAGCAGUCCAGGGCAUGUGGACUCCUGCUGGGUUGGGGCCAGGACAGGAGAAGAAAGUUUGAUACAGGCCUGAGGCUCGGGAGCCCUGCACUGGCUGUGCGUCUCUACAACCAUCCCAGAGUCGGCCCAGGUACCAGGUCUUCUGGCUCAGAUAAAGAUCACACAUGACUCGCCUGAAAACUUGAGGCAGAGGUGUGCCAUUGUCACAAAAGGCGCUGUCAGGGUGGAGGCUCAGGGAAUGAUAGAGGAGCUCUUGAAUCACCCUGGAGAAAUUUUACCUCGGUCAGACAGCUACAGAGCCGACUUAAUAUUUUUAUUUAAAAUCUAGAUUAUUUGGGGGCUGGUUUGGAAAUGGGGGAGAUCUGUGAGUCCAGGCAUGGUAGCAGGAAGAGAAGAGGCUUCCUUGUAACCCUACUGACUCUUCCUCUCACUUGUCCCAAAAGCACAGGGUGAGAGACAAGAACAUUGGUACAGUGCGUUCAGGAAACUUUUCAACUUUUUAUGUGUAGUGUACCAAAAUAUUUUUUCACACAUGCAAAGACAGUGGUCAGGGGCUAUUCUGGCUUGUUAGAAAAAAGGAUGUGACGUUUUCCAGUCCCUGGGUGGGUCUCAGUUCUCUUAGAGGCUCUGCCUCUCACUCACACCUCUGCUAGAGGAAUGCGAGGAAGCUCUGACAAGAUUGUGAUCUGGGGACACGUUUGCCACCUCAGCGCCAAGGCUGACGUGGGGACAUGGGCUACUCAGUGAACGCACUUUACCCAGGAUACCAAGGGCACUUAAUGAUACCGACAGUUCUGUUUACAUCCUUCUCCACUGCCUCCAGCAUCAUUCAAGGCGUAAUCUCUUGGAAAAGUUUGAUUAGAAUGAAUUCUAGUUUGGCGUAGGUUAUUAUGCACCUAAAUUGGCUAAACUUAGCUUCAUAUAUCAAACAUAAGAUAUACAUCUCUAGAGAUGCGUCUGUGGAGACCUCCAUAGGCACCAGUAUAUAUUAUUCUAAGUUUUACCUCUUUUCUUGUGGAUUACUAACUUUGUGGUUCUCCCUUGAUUAGGUUUAUAUGCAAUUUUCUUAGAAAAUGUCAACUCCAAUUCUGCAACAUACUGAGCCCCUUUAUUGGAAACUUCAAAGUUCCUAGUCCAAUCCUAAUUCUAGAUCUUACUUCAUAUGUUGCUUUUAUCUUCUCUUGGGUAAUGGGUCAUUUCAAGGGUGAUUUUUUUGACUUUAUCUUAUUGGGGAUAUAAGUGCAGAUAAAGGAGAUACAGACGAGCAUUUAAUUUUUUUUUUCAGUGCAGUGAUUAUGGAGUCAGGGUAGUAUUUCUGCUGUGUAUGGUAAACUCCAUAGGAUCUCAUUUAUUCAUGGUUAAAGGCUUUCCUGGGGAAACCAGUAUGCUAACUUCAGGCAGAUAAUAAAACCUGAGGUAUAUGGAGAGUGUCUACUUUGACACAUUCAGGGCUAGCCCUCUCCUGCUGGUGCAGUUCAAUGUGAAUUUAGUCAUUUGUGGUCACUUAACAGCAAAGAGAUCUUUCUACAGAGUCUAGCUGUGCUGAUUAUCAAACUGGGGAAAAUUGAUGGCCAUUUGUUAUGGCUAAUAACACAGGUGCCGGUCAACUUUAUAAAAAUGUAGAAAAGUAUUUGCGGUGAAAAUUAUCCUAACCAUUGUGGAAAAAUGCCCAUCCCACUUCAAUUCAUAGCUGAAUACAUAUAGGAACUACAGUUCUCAGACCUGCAGUGAGUUCUGACCAAUGGAAUUCAGUGGGAUGAUAGAUGCUGCCUUUGAAGCCACCCCAUCAACUGGCUCAUCUCCUCCUGUCUCAGCUCUUUCUCCUGCUGCAUCCUGAUGCAGGACCACUGCACAACCUCACAAACCUUAUGUGGAAAGUAGUGGAGCCACCAGAUGUUAUGGGUAUCCUUUAAUGGAGAACUUUACACUACUUUGAAAUGACAGUUUUAUACUUUUCAUAAGAAAGAAAUAAACUUCCAUUGUACUAA